RNAcentral lists this ribosomal RNA (253 nucleotides) under uncultured bacterium. RNAcentral describes it as "partial 16S ribosomal RNA". It matches the Rfam family "Bacterial small subunit ribosomal RNA", at positions 524 to 776 of the family's 1533-position model. The record is from RNAcentral.
CACGUAGGGUGCGAGCGUUGUCCGGAAUUAUUGGGCGUAAAGGGCUCGUAGGCGGUCUGUUGCGUCGGGAGUGAAAACUCAGGGCUUAACCCUGAGCCUGCUUCCGAUACGGGCAGACUAGAGGUAUGCAGGGGAGACUGGAAUUCCUGGUGUAGCGGUGAAAUGCGCAGAUAUCAGGAGGAACACCGGUGGCGAAGGCGGGUCUCUGGGCAAUAACUGACGCUGAGGAGCGAAAGCGUGGGGAGCGAACAGG